Chinchilla lanigera (long-tailed chinchilla) is the source of this 4113-nucleotide long non-coding RNA. NCBI's taxonomy places the organism in Eukaryota, Metazoa, Chordata, Mammalia, Rodentia, Chinchillidae. The record is from Ensembl.
UUCAGCUGGACUUAUACAGGACAUUGCCAUGGGAUCCAGGCCCUCAGCUGGAUUCUUUGGGUGUUUAGUGUGUGGAAAAAUCUCCUGCAUUCUUUUGUAUUUGACUCUUUGGGUGACUACUAUAAAAUAGUCCUAUAAAUUUAGUGUCCUGUAUUAAAUUAUUUCCCUUACAAACUCUGACUACAACAACAUCUCUACAUGUUUUUAACUGCUGUGCUUUCUUUCUAAAUGACUCAAUAUUUCAUGGCUAUGUCAUGCAAAUAAUUAGGUCAAAUAUUAGAAAAUAUUUCAUCUGUUCUUGUUUCAGUCGGUUUGCAAAGGAAACCCACUAGGUUUGAGAAGAGUAAAUAAUGGGCUGAAGUUAAAUAUAUACAUAUGCAUAGAUUGUAUAAGAUGUUUUGCUAACCCUGAAGGGUUAAAGAGAAUUAAAAGUUGUCAGUAUUACAAUCCAAGGCAGGAAAAUGUCAGCAAGUUAUAAGGAAUUUCCUUUCCCAUAAGCCAUUGGGACUCUGCCAAGGCUGUAGGGUAGAUGUUGCAUUAGUGGAAGACGAAUUUGAUCCAGUAAGACAUCUUCUCAAUCCUUGUGUAAGAUUAGUCUGAGUAGCAGUCACUUGGUAACAAUUUGGAAUGGAGUUUGUUAGAAAAACAUAGCUUUGUCUGGGUUGAGCCUAGAAAUGGGUGACAGAUGUUAAUGAUGAGCGACUGAACAGAUGUUUGGGGGAGAAUUACAAAAAGACUUUCUAUCACACAGGAUCUAAAUCUUAAUCUUCCUGGCUGAUGCUGAAAGAGGAGCUUGUUGGUGAAACAUGUUCUUACAAAACUGUUUGGCGGGUUGUGACAAAGACAAAUGACCGGACACUAUAAAUUUGAAAAUAAGGGAUGGAGAAGACUUAAUUCUACGUGUGGUCAGAAUAGAAGGAGCCAGCAGAUAACAAAGAUGAAGAGGGUGACUAAUGAGAUGAGGCUCUGGAGAGAUGACCAACAAGAGUGCUCUCUAGGAAAAAGGACAGAUGCCUCUUUCUCCAAGACCAUUUGCCAUUUUAACAAGGCAGAUAGUGACAACUGCAGAACCAGGCAUUCUUGUCCUUUAGUUGUCUUAGGCUCCCAUUUCUCGCUGUGAGCCUUGAUGUGAAAGGCCAGCCCUUGCGACAUAGGCAAGAUUUUCUGUUUUAGGAAGUAGUGCAAAAUGUUUGGUUACUUAGUUUAAGAAAGGAACGCAAAAAGACACAGCAAAGCAGAAAGGAAAAACCCAACACCCAGAAGCUUUCCUCUUUGUCACCUCAUUAGCUCAUAUGAGCACUCCCAGAAACAGAGAGAACAGGUCAGAAAUCCUGGACAGCUGGAUCGCUCAGCCCAGAGGAGCUUUCAACAGCCACAAGAGCUGGACAAUUACAAACUGUUAUCUUCUCCAGAUGAUUAAUGGGGUUUCCUGAGUGAAAUAGGAAGACUUAAACUUCAACAGCUCAUUUCUUCAAAUCAGGACCUUUAAAUAGGAUGCAUUGUUGCAGGGGCAAUAAAACCGUCAGAAUGUGGAUCUGGCUUUUUUCCAUCUUAUUAGGCUUGAGGUAAUUAUCCAGGUAAUUCAGGAAAAAUAAACUGCCAUUGCCUGAAUUACUCAGAUAAUUACCUCCAUGUUCCACCCCAGUCCAGAGCCAGCUAUAAAUGUCUCACGGGUCUCAGUCUGAAAACAUAAAACAGGUUUAGUAAUUAAGAAGUGAGAGUGAAAGAGCAGAGGUACUCAGCUCAAACAAUUUGAGAACAUGGGUGUUUUAGAUGAAGCUCUGUCAUGUACUACCUGCUUACUCCAGGUGAGCUGCUUUAUCUACCUGGAUGGAAUGGCAUUUGGAGAAUGGCAAACUGUAAAUUGCUAGCAACUUCAGUAAAGUUUAUUAAUUUUUUUUUAUUGGUGGUAUCAAAUGAUACAAAUUUUUAUUCUGGCAUAAAGCUGGAUAAAAAAUUAUGCUUCAUGCUGAACUGUGAAAUUUCAGUUAUAUGACAUAAGCUGCACAUUAGACUCAUCUGGGGAGUUUAAAAAAAAUACAGGAUUUUCCAGGUCCCACCCAACCCAAUUGAAGUUGAAUAUCUGGAAUUUCACCACCAACAUUUGUUAUUUUUUAAAAAGUAUAAAUCCUUGUUAAUUUUUUUUUUUUUUUUUUUUUUGGCAGUGGGGGUGAUGUUGGAGAUUGAACCUGGGGCUUCGUGCAUGUGUAAUAAAUACUCUACCGACUGAGAUGCACCCUGUGCCUCUCAGUGGGCUCUUCUAUUUUACUGUAUAUUGUAUUUGUUAUGAUACUGGUGUUUUUAUUUUUUUAAUUUUUUUUCCAGUACUGGGAAUUGAACUCACGACAUUGCGCUUGCCAGGCAGGUGCUGUGCCGCUGAGCUAAAUCCCCAGCCCCAGAUACUGGUGUUUUUAAAAUACUCUCUAGAUGAUUCUGCAUGAGAAAGAGAGAGAGAGAGAGAGAGACAGAGACAGAGACAGAGACAGAGACAGAGAGAAAAAGACAGAGAGAAGGAGACCUCACAUACAGAGAAAAAAAGAGACUUCUGUCACUGGAGGGUCAUAUCCAGGGUUUGACAAGUCUCAGAGUGGUAGCUGAAGCUCUCUGGAAACCUGUCUCUCCAGAGUUCUAGGCAGAAGGGGACUUAUUUGGCUUGGGUGUUUGUUUCCUUCCAAAAUUCAUGUUGAAACAAUCUCCAGUAUAACAAGAUUAAGAGGUGAGACCUCUAGGAAGUGACUAGGCCAUGAAGGCUGUGACUUACUGAUGGAAGUAGCACCCUUACAAAAGGUCUCAAGGAAGUGAAUUCAGCAUCUUUUUUGCAUCUUUCAUCCCUUCUGCCAUGUGAAAUUGCAGCAUCUGUCUCUCUGGAAGAUGCAGCUAAAAGGCACCAUCUUGGAGGCACAUUGGGUUCUUACCCGACACCUAACUUGCCAGCAUCUUUAUCUUGGAUUUCCAGUGUCCAGAACUGUGAAAAAAAAUGUCUGUUAUUUAUAAACCAUCGAGUCUCAGGUAUUUUUACAUACCAGCAGAAAUGGACUAAGAUAGUGUCUGAAUACCCCACUCUCUCAGUUUCAGACUUUCCUGAUCUGAAUGUCAAGGAAGGAGCUUGCUUUACCAGUCUACUGACAUCCAUCACUCCUGUACAAAAAGGCACGAGGCUCCAGUGGUGACUACUUCCCACACCAAGUUUGUUUGAGUAAGUAAAGGACUUGCCAAAGAUGCAACCUCUGCUGUCCUUUACUUCUGGAAGUUUAUAGCUGAGAAAUGACUAAGCAAUCUCUCAACAAUCUUGCAGAGAUGGGAAGAAAGUAUCAUUACUACUUCAUUUUAAUUCCUGAAAAAUUUCCUCCCAAGGAUUAGGACCAGGCAUAAUUUCAUCAUGAGUUCCCAGGUUUUUCUAUGGUGAACUGGUACAUCAUGUCAACAUUCCUUAAAAGUCAUGAGACAGGAACUACAAAAAGAUACUAUUUCAUCAUGGCAGCAAAUGUUUCUCAAGUGCAAACCUGCCAUCUGUUAGGCAGAACAAGGAACUAGAAAACCCUUCCUUCUGAAGUAAUUCAGCUGGAUUCUCCAAUUUUGAAGCAUCUGGUUGGUAACUGUGCUGUCAGCAUGAAACUACCUUCUCAGUUUCAAACAUCCCAGUGCUGGAGCCUGAGGAUAGAAUUCCUGUGGUCUAGACACAAACCCCUGCUACUAGGACUUACAGAUGGGGCUGUCCUUUAAGUCUGGAGGGUUAUAGCUCAGAAAUGAUCAAGCAAUCUCUCAACAGUCUUGCAGGAAUGAUCAACAGCUUCUCAGAAUACAGCGGAACAUCUGUUUCCUACAUGUAACUACACCAAACAGAGGCUGCCUUCUCUGUGCACAUGUUGCUCCUGCAGGAGUCCAGUGGCGUGUAAAUUCAAAAGAGCACUUUUGCCCCAUGAUAAACCUCUCAAGGACUGAAGUGCUUUGACUUACAGUGAUUCUUCCAGAGGAUUUUUCCCCAGUUGUUUAAAUAUGGACAUCAACAAGUAUUUAAAGACAAUGCAGGGGCUGGGGAUUUAGCUCAGCGGCAAAAGCGCCUGCCUGGCAAGCGCAAGGUCGUGAGUUCAGUUCCCGGUACCGGAGAAAAAC